UGCCAGCAGCCGCGGUAACACGGGGGGCGCAAGCGUUAUUCGGAAUUAUUGGGCGUAAAGGGCGCGCAGGCGGUCUUGUCCGUCAGGUGUGAAAGCUCGGGGCUCAACCUGUAAAUUGCCUCUGAAACUGUAUGGCUUGAGUUCUGCAGGGGAAAGUGGAAUUCAUGGUGUAGCGGUGAAAUGCGUAGAUAUCAUGGAGAACACCUAUGGCGAAGGCAGCUUUCUGGGCAGAAACUGACGCUGAGGCGCGAAAGCUAGGGUAGCGAACAGGAUUAGAUA
Molecule: ribosomal RNA, 279 nt
Filed under: uncultured bacterium
Lineage: Bacteria
Description: partial 16S ribosomal RNA
Rfam family: Bacterial small subunit ribosomal RNA
Source: RNAcentral